Molecule: ribosomal RNA, 468 nt
Filed under: uncultured bacterium
Lineage: Bacteria
Description: partial 16S ribosomal RNA
Rfam family: Bacterial small subunit ribosomal RNA
Source: RNAcentral
GACGAACGCUGGCGGCGUGCUUAACACAUGCGAGUCGAACGGAAAGGCCCUGCUUUUGUGGGGUGCUCGAGUGGCGAACGGGUGAGUAACACGUGAGUAACCUGCCCUUGACUUUGGGAUAACUUCAGGAAACUGGGGCUAAUACCGGAUAGGAGCUCCUGCUGCAUGGUGGGGGUUGGAAAGUUUCGGCGGUUGGGGAUGGACUCGCGGCUUAUCAGCUUGUUGGUGGGGUAGUGGCUUACCAAGGCUUUGACGGGUAGCCGGCCUGAGAGGGUGACCGGCCACAUUGGGACUGAGAUACGGCCCAGACUCCUACGGGAGGGAGCAGUGGGGAAUAUUGCACAAUGGGCGGAAGCCUGAUGCAGCAACGCCGCGUGCGGGAUGACGGCCUUCGGGUUGUAAACCGCUUUCGCCUGUGACGAAGCGUGAGUGACGGUAAUGGGCAAAGAAGCACCGGCUAAAUAAGUG